GAUGAACGCUGGCGGCGUGCCUAAUACAUGCAAGUCGAGCGAACAGACGAGGAGCUUGCUCCUCUGACGUUAGCGGCGGACGGGUGAGUAACACGUGGAUAACCUACCUAUAAGACUGGGAUAACUUCGGGAAACCGGAGCUAAUACCGGAUAAUAUAUUGAACCGCAUGGUUCAAUAGUGAAAGACGGUUUUGCUGUCACUUAUAGAUGGAUCCGCGUCGGAUUAGCUAGUUGGUAAGGUAACGGCUUACCAAGGCGACGAUGCGUAGCCGACCUGAGAGGGUGAUCAGCCAAACUGGAACUGGGAAACGGUCCAGACUCCCAAGGGAGGGAGGAGUGGGGAAUUUUUGCCAAUGGGGGGAAGCCUGACCGAGCCAGGCCGGGUGGGGGAAGAAGGGCCUUGGGUUGUAAAACCCUUUUUGUUGGGAAGAAAAAAAGUAGGAGAAAACAUUGCCGUUCUGACGGUACCCAAAGAAGAAGCACCGGCUAACUUCGUG
RNAcentral lists this ribosomal RNA (497 nucleotides) under uncultured bacterium. RNAcentral describes it as "partial 16S ribosomal RNA". It matches the Rfam family "Bacterial small subunit ribosomal RNA", at positions 28 to 507 of the family's 1533-position model. The record is from RNAcentral.